AAGAGAGAGCCCGCAAGCUCCCUAAACCCACUGCGAAUGUACCUGUACUGUUGCUUCAGCAGGCGGCCCCGUCGGGGGGGGCCCUGGCCCAGGCGGGUGCCUGCCGGGAGCGUGGCGAAGACUCUUGCUGUUACAGUGUAUUCUGAGUCCUACAAGCAAACUAUACA
Molecule: unclassified non-coding RNA, 167 nt
Filed under: uncultured fungus
Lineage: Eukaryota; Fungi
Description: sequence contains ITS1
Source: RNAcentral